AGUAGAUCACCAAGAGAGCGUAACUUCUGUGCUAGGUCAUGGGAGUUCAGCACAGAGUUGUACAGUAGAAAGAGCAUGCCUGCAGUCUCUUCACGACAUCAGACUGCUGUAAGUCAGCCAUGCACAUGGCCCUGAAGGGAUAUCUACAAGUGCACAUGUCAGCAAGUGUUCGUGGGAAGUAAGUGACUGGUACCCUUGCCCUCCAGAGACCGAGUGCCUUAUUUCUUCGACAUGACUUUCACCGUCCUGAAGUCUGGACCCUCCUAAGGUGCCGAAAUCCACUCAGUCGCUUUCACACACCCACAGAAAAUAAUGGCUUGACCUGCCUGUGGCCAGAUCUGACAUGCCCUGCUGUGGUGGGAAAAUUAAUUCACCUCACUACACCGCAGUCACCCUCAGCUGAGUCCUGCAAUUAUUUCAUUAUGAUCUAA
RNAcentral lists this long non-coding RNA (431 nucleotides) under Coturnix japonica (Japanese quail). RNAcentral describes it as "lncRNA (ENSCJPG00005002539.1)". The record is from RNAcentral. Lineage: Eukaryota; Metazoa; Chordata; Aves; Galliformes; Phasianidae.